Myxocyprinus asiaticus (Chinese sucker) is the source of this 2805-nucleotide long non-coding RNA. RefSeq lists it as uncharacterized. NCBI's taxonomy places the organism in Eukaryota, Metazoa, Chordata, Actinopteri, Cypriniformes, Catostomidae. The record is from RefSeq and is a predicted model, not a curated record. The transcript is spliced from 4 exons.
CAGAAGGCCGCAAAGGGAAGUAAGCAUGUAUUGAGAUAGCGCUGUAUCAAGAAAAGACUAAUUACACUGAUUGAAAAAAGGUAUCUACUUCUUCUGAGUGCAAUCUACAAAAGUACAGCUGUUCUUACUGGAGAAAAGAGCAUCAUGGAUGGCAGAUCCACAUCAGUGUCUAUCGGGAUAGCCGUGGCAUUUGGCAUCUUAGGGUUGUUCCUGCUGAUUUGUUUGGUUCAGAUGUGCUGCAAAAAACUGAAAUGCUGCAAAAAUUUUAAAAAGCCUUCAGCACAAGACAAAAUUUUGAAGAAAGUUGGCUUGAAGAAAUCCUCAUCUCCAUUUUCGAUCAGCAGCAUUGUUGAGAAGAAAUAAUCACUGUGAAUGUAUUUUUCUAUGCCUGUAAAUAUUGUACAUAAACCCUCAAAGGGAUAGUUUAACAAAAAAUAAAAAUCAUGUCAUCAUUUACUCACCCUUAUGCUAUUCCAGAAAUGUACGAGUUUGUUUUUGUUUUUUUAAUGUACAUGUUCCUCUUUUUUUAUGCAAUUACAGUAAAAGGGAAUUGGAACUUCUAUGCUUUGAAAAGGAAGAUAAAACACCAGAAUGUAUCAUAAAAGCGGUCCAGUCUUUGGAAAUUCUAUUUUUGUUUGACUGACAGACUGAAAUUAAAGUAAAUUUUCACUCAAAAUCUUGAUAUUCUAGCUUUUUUUGCAACACAUGAGAGGAAUUGCUAUGUCCGAUUCGUGAACGAAUCAUUCAGACCAGUUUUGUAAACUGUAUCAGCUGAAUCAUUGAAAUGAUCUGUAUCCAAAAAAAUGAUUUGCUGUCUAAUUAUACAUCACUGCUUUCCUCAUGAGCUCUCAUGAAUGGAUAUCAAGAUUUUCAAUGAACAAUGACUUAAAUUACAGCCUGUUUUCCACAAACAAAGCUAUCGUAUGUCUUCAGAAAACCUGAGGUACAUGAAUAUACCACAAAAGGCAUUUGCACCACUGUUAUGAUAAUUUUAUGGAGCUGUUGCAUCCUUUUUGAUAUGCCAAAGCUCCAAUCCCCAUUCUCUGCAAUUGCAUAGAAAAGAAGGACCAUUACAUUUUUGAAAAUGUAUCCUUUUCUGUUCCACUGAAGAAAGAAAGCCAUAUGGGUUUGGAAUAUCAUGAGGGUAAGUUAAUGAUUACAGAAUUUGUUAUUUUGGGUGAACUAUAUUAUAUACUAUAUUAUAUACCCUAAUAUUCAGGGUAAAAUACAACUUAAUCUAUCUACAAGUGACUCUAUCAAGAACAUCUAACAGAUCUAGUCAAAUACCAAAUCAUUCUGACUUUAUGAUUGUAAUGUAUUUACAGUGAAAGCAUAUAGGACAAAAGAACCACAUUUAGGUUUUUUAUUCUUUCUUUCUUAACAACACUUGAAACUAAAUGUAUUUCCAUGAUAUGAUGUGCAAGUGUCUGCCAAUUUAUUUAUUUUUCAAUUUCUGUAAAACGUGUGAAUCACAGUUCUGAGGUAAAGGUAUCAAUUAGGGAGAUAUUGUAUGAUUCAUAACUGUGGUGAGGUAGAAAGUUUGCUUUCUCACAGUUCGGGAAAAACACUGUUAAUGUUACUGAGACUGAUUAUCCGAUUGUUUCUCUCAUCUUCUAACUCAGUGUUUUGUCUCCUUAUAUCUUAUAUAACUUUUUUUUACUGUUUACGGAAACACAUAAUAGCCUUCUUCUCAAGCUGAACUGUUUUCACAUAACAUAGCUUCAAAUGUCACCAGAUAGCAGUAUACAUAGAAGAGUUGUACUCAAAAUGCUCUUUGGUCCCAGUGGAUAGAUCAUAUCACCAUUGUGAUUUCUUAAUGGCAGUGGAAUUUGUAAGGAAGUGAAGGAAUAUUAUUAACAUUACUUAUAAGAAAGUGCUCAUGAGUGAUACAUUUCCAAUCAAAGCAAAUAGAUGUGGAAGGAUGUCAAGUCAUCUACUGAAUGACGAUAUUUGAUAUACAGGAAAAUGUGCUCACAUUUCCCAACAUUCAUCUAUUGUCUUGUGAAGUGUUAUUGUGGGAUGAGGUGUGUUGCAUUUACAAUAAAUUACUAAAUGAUGGUGUUGAUAUAUAGCCAGUUCUACUGGUAAAUUCAUAAUAUAUGUAAACAUUGUGGUAAUCUGCAUUUGUUAAUUAAGGAAAGGUGCUAUAUGUAAUAUUUUUACUGUACUAAAUCAUAAAAUAUGUCAUUAGAGAAUUAGGAAACAUGCUAAGUUGAAAUACUGGCUUCUCCGAUAACAAUGCUACAGCCAAUAUUUUCAACUUUGAAGUUUCCAUUCCGGGCUGGAAUUUUUGUUUAUAUUUUGGCCUGUGUGAUCCCGCCCACUGCCCACUCACUAAUAGUAUUUCGACACCGCCGGGUUGCCAGAUUUGAACAAGUUUGCAGGCAAACAGCACUGUGUGCUGCAGCCAUGGAAGCUAGCAAAUGAACUGGAUCAGAUUACACCUGACCAAAAAAGCCUCGCCAUCCGUCUAAAAACCACCAUGACCAGAGGUGUAGUAAAACAAGGAUAAAUAUUAGAGAUCCCUUUUAGAAGAUGGAGACAGCUUAAAGCCCAGAAAUCCUUUAAAAUGGAUGCUGUGAUGGCUAAUUUGCAUGUCAACAUUUUGUCAACCCGCAUGAGCUUUGAGUCUGGGGUGGGGCAGGCAACUCUCCAAUAUUUUGAAUUCGGACUGCGGUACCCAUUUCAAACGCUUGUUGUCAAUCUUACAUAUAGCACCUUUAAGGAACUAUUUCUUGAUCUAACCCUUAAAUUUUUAUUUUUAUUUAAUUUUUUUUUUUUUUUGUGUGUAACCUAAUGUAGUUG